RNAcentral lists this ribosomal RNA (886 nucleotides) under Keithomyces carneus. Its description in RNAcentral is "partial large subunit ribosomal RNA". It matches the Rfam family "Eukaryotic large subunit ribosomal RNA", at positions 48 to 961 of the family's 3401-position model. The record is from RNAcentral. Lineage: Eukaryota; Fungi; Ascomycota; Sordariomycetes; Hypocreales; Clavicipitaceae.
AAGCGGAGGAAAAGAAACCAACAGGGAUUGCCCCAGUAACGGCGAGUGAAGCGGCAACAGCUCAAAUUUGAAAUCUGGCCCCCAGGGUCCGAGUUGUAAUUUGCAGAGGAUGCUUUUGGCAAGGUGCCUUCCGAGUUCCCUGGAACGGGACGCCAUAGAGGGUGAGAGCCCCGUCUGGUUGGAUACCGAGCCUCUGUAAAGCUCCUUCGACGAGUCGAGUAGUUUGGGAAUGCUGCUCUAAAUGGGAGGUAUAUGUCUUCUAAAGCUAAAUAUUGGCCAGAGACCGAUAGCGCACAAGUAGAGUGAUCGAAAGAUGAAAAGCACUUUGAAAAGAGGGUUAAAUAGUACGUGAAAUUGUUGAAAGGGAAGCGCUCAUGACCAGACUUGGGCCCGGUGAAUCAUCCAGCGCUCGUCGCUGGUGCACUUUGCCGGGCUCAGGCCAGCAUCAGUUCGCUCCGGGGGACAAAGGCUCUGGGAAUGUGGCUCCUCCGGGAGUGUUAUAGCCCACUGCGCAAUACCCUGGGGCGGACUGAGGUUCGCGCAUUCGUGCAAGGAUGCUGGCGUAAUGGUCAUCAGUGACCCGUCUUGAAACACGGACCAAGGAGUCGUCUUCGUAUGCAAGUGUUCGGGUGUAAAACCCCUACGCGUAAUGAAAGUGAACGCAGGUGAGAGCUUCGGCGCAUCAUCGACCGAUCCUGAUGUUCUCGGAUGGAUUUGAGUAAGAGCAUACGGGGCCGGACCCGAAAGAAGGUGAACUAUGCCUGUAUAGGGUGAAGCCAGAGGAAACUCUGGUGGAGGCUCGCAGCGGUUCUGACGUGCAAAUCGAUCGUCAAAUAUGGGCAUGGGGGCGAAAGACUAAUCGAACCUUCUAGUAGCUGGUUUCCGC